UGGCUCAGAACGAACGCUGGUGGCGUGCUUAUACAUGCAAGUCGAGCGAGGUAGCAAUACCUAGCGGCGAACGGGUGAGUAACGCGUAAGCAAUCUGCCCCAUAUCAGGAAAUACCCGUGCCAACGCGCGGUUAAUGUCCAGGAGAGUGGCCCCCUGCAUGGGGGGUUGACUAGAGAUUUAUCGGUAUGGGAUGAGCUUGCGUCCGAUUAGCUGGUUGGCGGGCAACGGCCCACCAAGGCGACGAUCGGUAGCCGGCCUGAGAGGGUGAUCGGCCACAUUGGGACUGAGAUACGGCCCAGACUCCUACGGGAGGCAGCAGUAGGGAAUAUUGCACAAUGGGGGAAACCCUGAUGCAGCAACGCCAACCGUGUGGGAAGAAGCAUUUCGGUGUGUAAACCACUGUCGUGAGGAAUAUGUGCUUCCGGCACUUGAUGUCCUUGAAAGGAAGCACCGGCAAACUUCGUGCCAGCCGCCGC
RNAcentral lists this ribosomal RNA (477 nucleotides) under uncultured bacterium. RNAcentral's name for it is "bacterial SSU rRNA". It matches the Rfam family "Bacterial small subunit ribosomal RNA", at positions 20 to 518 of the family's 1533-position model. The record is from RNAcentral.